ACUGGGAGAGAGCGGGGAUGCACUGGGAUCAGCUGGGGGGCACUGGGGGAGACGGGGAAGGGCUGGUGUGGCAUUGAGAGGGACUGGGAGGGGCUAGGAAGGCACUGGGAGGGACUGGGAUGGCACUGGGAGGGACUGGGAUGGCACUGGAAGGGGCUAGGAUGGAACUGGGAGGGACUGGGAUGCUACCGGGAGGGAUUGGGAUGGCGCUGGGAUGAACUGGGAGGGACUGAGAUGUUCCUGGGAGGGACUGUGUUGACAGUAGGAAGGACUGGGAUGUCACCGGCAGGGACUGGGAUGGUACUGGGGGGGGCUAGGAUGGAACUGGGAAGGACUGAGAUGGUACUGGGAUGGACUGGGAGGAACUGGGAUGUACAAGAGGCCCCGGGGAUGGGCCCAAGGAGGGCUCAGGGCUCUGCGGUGAUUCCCGGGGAGGUUUUGAGGGGCUCCAGGGUCAUUCCCGGGGCCGGGCCCGAGGGGACUCGCUCUGCCCCACGCUCUGCCCCACGCUCACCUCUGCGCUCCACGCUGAACGGGGUGGACACCUCGUAGUUGUGCCGGCAGUACCAGUCCACUGCAGUCCGUCUCUCCUCCAUCCAUUCCGGGUUGCUGUUCCAGGCCCUGGCAACCUUCUCCCC
Molecule: long non-coding RNA, 638 nt
Organism: Corvus hawaiiensis (hawaiian crow)
Lineage: Eukaryota; Metazoa; Chordata; Aves; Passeriformes; Corvidae
Exons: 2
Source: RefSeq, a predicted model, not a curated record